Molecule: transfer RNA, 72 nt
Filed under: Camelus bactrianus (Bactrian camel)
Lineage: Eukaryota; Metazoa; Chordata; Mammalia; Artiodactyla; Camelidae
Also listed under: 2 other names
Rfam family: tRNA
About the family: Transfer RNA (tRNA) molecules are approximately 80 nucleotides in length. Their secondary structure includes four short double-helical elements and three loops (D, anti-codon, and T loops).
Source: Rfam by way of RNAcentral
AGACGUAUAGUUCAGAGGUAGAGUGUGUGCUUAGAAUGCACGAGGUCCUAGGUUUAAUCCCCAGUACCUCUG